Molecule: non-coding RNA, 139 nt
Organism: Pseudonaja textilis
Lineage: Eukaryota; Metazoa; Chordata; Lepidosauria; Squamata; Elapidae
Source: RefSeq, a predicted model, not a curated record
AGUAAAAUGUAGGGAAAAGGUAUGGUUGCUAAGACUUUAUAGCAGUGGUUCUCAACCUGUGGGUUGUGACCCCUUUGGGGGUUGAACGACCCUUUCACAGGGGUUUCCUAAGACCAUCGGAAAACACAUAUUUUUGAUG